RNAcentral lists this ribosomal RNA (2896 nucleotides) under Klebsiella pneumoniae. RNAcentral's name for it is "23S ribosomal RNA". It matches the Rfam family "Bacterial large subunit ribosomal RNA". Lineage: Bacteria; Pseudomonadati; Pseudomonadota; Gammaproteobacteria; Enterobacterales; Enterobacteriaceae. The record is from RNAcentral.
GGUUAAGCGACUAAGCGUACACGGUGGAUGCCACGGCAGUCCAGAGGCGAUGAAGGACGUGCUAAUCUGCGAAAAGCGUCGGUAAGGUGAUAUGAACCGUUACAGCCGGCGAUGUCCGAAUGGGGAAACCCAGUGCAAUUCGUUGCACUAUCGUUAACUGAAUACAUAGGUUAACGAGGCGAACCGGGGAACUGAAACAUCUAAGUACCCCGAGGAAAAGAAAUCAACCGAGAUUCCCCAGUAGCGGCGAGCGAACGGGAGCAGCCCAGAGUCUGAAUCAGCUUGUGUGUUAGUGGAACGGUCUGGAAAGUCCGACGGUACAGGGUGAUAGUCCCGUACACCAAAAUGCACAGGUUGUGAACUCGAAGAGUAGGGCGGGACACGUGGUAUCCUGUCUGAAUAUGGGGGACCAUCCUCCAAGGCUAAAUACUCCUGACUGACCGAUAGUGAACCAGUACCGUGAGGGGAAAGGCGAAAAGAACCCCGGCGAGGGGAGUGAAAAAGAACCUGAAACCGUGUACGUACAAGCAGUGGGAGCACCUUCGGGUGUGACUGCGUACCUUUGUAUAAUGGGUCAGCGACUUAUAUUCUGUAGCAAGGUUAACCGUAUAGGGGAGCCGCAGGAAACCGAGUCUUAACUGGGCGUUAAGUUGCAGGGUAUAGACCCGAAACCCGGUGAUCUAGCCAUGGGCAGGUUGAAGGUUGGGUAACACUAACUGGAGGACCGAACCGACUAAUGUUGAAAAAUUAGCGGAUGACUUGUGGCUGGGGUGAAAGGCCAAUCAAACCGGGAGAUAGCUGGUUCUCCCCGAAAGCUAUUUAGGUAGCGCCUCGUGAACUCAUCUUCGGGGUAGAGCACUGUUUCGGCUAGGGGGUCAUCCCGACUUACCAACCCGAUGCAAACUACGAAUACCGAAGAAUGUUAUCACGGGAGACACACGGCGGGUGCUAACGUCCGUCGUGAAGAGGGAAACCCAGACCGCCAGCUAAGGUCCCAAAGUCAUGGUUAAGUGGGAAACGAUGUGGGAAGGCACAGACAGCCGGGGAUGUUGGCUUAGAAGCAGCCAUCAUUUAAAGAAAGCGUAAUAGCUCACUGGUCGAGUCGGCCUGCGCGGAAGAUGUAACGGGGCUAAACCAUGCACCGAAGCUGCGGCAGCGACACUAUGUGUUGUUGGGUAGGGGAGCGUUCUGUAAGCCUGCGAAGGUGUGCUGUGAGGCAUGCUGGAGGUAUCAGAAGUGCGAAUGCUGACAUAAGUAACGAUAAAGCGGGUGAAAAGCCCGCUCGCCGGAAGACCAAGGGUUCCUGUCCAACGUUAAUCGGGGCAGGGUGAGUCGACCCCUAAGGCGAGGCCGAAAGGCGUAGUCGAUGGGAAACAGGUUAAUAUUCCUGUACUUGGUGUUACUGCGAAGGGGGACGGAGAAGGCUAUGUUAGCCGGGCGACGGUUGUCCCGGUUUAAGCAUGUAGGCUGGUUAUCCAGGCAAAUCCGGAUAAUCAAGGCUGAGGUGUGAUGACGAGGCACUACGGUGCUGAAGUAACAAAUGCCCUGCUUCCAGGAAAAGCCUCUAAGCAUCAGGUAACAUCAAAUCGUACCCCAAACCGACACAGGUGGUCAGGUAGAGAAUACCAAGGCGCUUGAGAGAACUCGGGUGAAGGAACUAGGCAAAAUGGUGCCGUAACUUCGGGAGAAGGCACGCUGGUGUGUAGGUGAAGUCCCUGCGGAUGGAGCUGAGACCAGUCGAAGAUACCAGCUGGCUGCAACUGUUUAUUAAAAACACAGCACUGUGCAAACACGAAAGUGGACGUAUACGGUGUGACGCCUGCCCGGUGCCGGAAGGUUAAUUGAUGGGGUUAUCCGUAAGGAGAAGCUCUUGAUCGAAGCCCCGGUAAACGGCGGCCGUAACUAUAACGGUCCUAAGGUAGCGAAAUUCCUUGUCGGGUAAGUUCCGACCUGCACGAAUGGCGUAAUGAUGGCCGGGCUGUCUCCACCCGAGACUCAGUGAAAUUGAACUCGCUGUGAAGAUGCAGUGUACCCGCGGCAAGACGGAAAGACCCCGUGAACCUUUACUAUAGCUUGACACUGAACAUUGAGCCUUGAUGUGUGGGAUGGGUGGGAGGCUUUUGAAGCGUGGACGCCAGUCUGCGUGGAGCCAACCUUGAAAUACCACCCUUUAAUGUUUGAUGUUCUAACGUUGGCCCCUGACCGGGGUUGCGGACAGUGUCUGGUGGGUAGUUUGACUGGGGCGGUCUCCUCCCAAAGCGUAACGGAGGAGCACGAAGGUUAGCUAAUCCCCGGUCGGACAUCAGGAGGUUAGUGCAAUGGCAUAAGCUAGCUUGACUGCGAGCGUGACGGCGCGAGCAGGUGCGAAAGCAGGUCAUAGUGAUCCGGUGGUUCUGAAUGGAAGGGCCAUCGCUCAACGGAUAAAAGGUACUCCGGGGAUAACAGGCUGAUACCGCCCAAGAGUUCAUAUCGACGGCGGUGUUUGGCACCUCGAUGUCGGCUCAUCACAUCCCUCGGGGCUGAAGUAGGUCCCAAGGGUAUGGCUGUUCGCCAUUUAAAGUGGUACGCGAGCUGGGUUUAGAACGUCGUGAGACAGUUCGGUCCCUAUCUGCCGUGGGCGCUGGAGAAUUGAGGGGGCUGCUCCUAGUACGAGAGGACCGGAGUGGACGCAUCACUGGUGUUCGGGUUGUCAUGCCAAUGGCACUGCCCGGUAGCUAAAUGCGGAAGAGAUAAGUGCUGAAAGCAUCUAAGCACGAAACUUGCCCCGAGAUGAGUUCUCCCUGAGACUAUAAGUCUCCUGAAGGAACGUUAAAGACGAUGACGUUGAUAGGCCGGGUGUGUAAGCGCAGCGAUGCGUUGAGCUAACCGGUACUAAUGAACCGUGAGGCUUAACCUU